UCAGGAGCUUGUAGAAGUCGGUGUCGAGCAGGCUGCGCACGAUCGGGUCUAGCCGCCAGCCGUGAUUGUAGGUUCGUGAAGCGAUAUCUGUAAUAGCCAUGCCGGGAUCAUAUCCGGCUCCCUCGCGGGCAGCCAGCCACCGGCCGCUAUUUUAUGGCCUGCUUCCAUGGCGAGCUCGGCCUAUCGCCGNNNNNNNNNNNNNAGCCUUGUCCGGGGCGAACUGCUGCCUCAGGUAUGAGACCAACUCCAUGAUCUGUUGGUCAUUCAGGCU
This 271-nucleotide unclassified non-coding RNA is filed under the name Hevea brasiliensis (rubber tree). The record is from RNAcentral. Lineage: Eukaryota; Viridiplantae; Streptophyta; Magnoliopsida; Malpighiales; Euphorbiaceae.